Molecule: ribosomal RNA, 253 nt
Filed under: uncultured bacterium
Lineage: Bacteria
Description: partial 16S ribosomal RNA
Rfam family: Bacterial small subunit ribosomal RNA
Source: RNAcentral
UACGAAGGGGGCUAGCGUUGUUCGGAAUCACUGGGCGUAAAGCGCACGUAGGCGGGUCUUUAAGUCAGGGGUGAAAUCCUGGAGCUCAACUCCAGAACUGCCUUUGAUACUGAAGAUCUUGAGUUCGGGAGAGGUGAGUGGAACUGCGAGUGUAGAGGUGAAAUUCGUAGAUAUUCGCAAGAACACCAGUGGCGAAGGCGGCUCACUGGCCCGAUACUGACGCUGAGGCACGAAAGCGUGGGGAGCAAACAGG